Lepisosteus oculatus (spotted gar) is the source of this 1343-nucleotide long non-coding RNA. RefSeq lists it as uncharacterized. The record is from RefSeq and is a predicted model, not a curated record. Lineage: Eukaryota; Metazoa; Chordata; Actinopteri; Semionotiformes; Lepisosteidae.
ACAUACUUUGUUAAACUGCUUUCAGCACAUUCAGACUAUUAAAUCGCGACAGACAAUACGUUUUACACCUGCCGCGCCGCUGCCGUGAGACACUGAAAGCCGGCGCGCUUAUUAAAGAGACGUCCAGACAAGGAGGUGUAAGUACGACAACACUUAGAGGUGCAGUCUGGGGAGGGGCCAGGUGACAUUUACAUAGUUAAAUCACAGGAAUGAUUCGAAUAUACGAGCAGGCAGGAGGUGAGGGAAUAGAGAGAGCAGUUGUCGAGAGGAAAAGGAAAGAUGACCUUUGAACGGGAGAUGCAACCAAACCAGUAUUACUGUCAGUCUUUUUCUUUCAGAGUAUCCUGAGAUACGGUUGCAGGCUCUUGGCCCCGAGCUGUGUCCAUUAACAGAUCACGAGGCAGGCAGGGGUAGCAGAGGUGAUCUGAACGGGCUGGGUGUUUCGCUCGCUCUCACAACCUCUGAAAGACGGCUCUGGCGAUCUGCAUUCCUUCAUCCCGUGAGGAGUCUGGCUGUGGAACGGAAGUGGCAUUCUUAAGCGCUGAAAAUAUUGGUGUUUUUGGAAAAUGCCGAAGAGGACCUGGUUUUUUCUAGCUGUGAUCUGAACCACGGAGAAAUGAAAGGGGACCCCCCCCGUGUGUUUCACAGUGGCGCCCCAGUACAGCGCGGGCCUGCACCCUGCACCGUCUCCUCGGGCCUCCCUCCGGGAACGCCCUGUCUCAGGCUGGCCGGGGGAGCCCUGUUCUCCGGCUGGAGGACGGACUGAGUUCAGAAGCAGGAAAUACAAGUGACCUUUGGGGCGGAAUCAUAUUUGUCACCCUGAGUUCUCACCCCGUUCGAAAGGAUAAAUAAAAGCCUGUCUCUUAUUCUUCCCCCGGUUUUAUUUGGGCGUGGGGCUGGCCAGCACUCAGGUUGUCCGCGUAUGGCGUGAAUUUCAGUGUGAAACCCCCAGAGGAACAGAAGGUACCCCAGCAUCUCUCCCGCUGCCUCCUGCGAGGACACCAUCUGCACAGGGCUGCCUGGCCCGUACUGUGCUGGGCCGUUUGUCAAUAGGAGAGUGCUGGAGAGUCAUCACCUUAGGCACUGCCUUAAAUUAAUAACAUUACCCUGCGCCAUCAUGCGUAUGUCAAUUCAGAGAGGAUGGAGGCAUUUAAUUAUUAUUUGUAAACUGUUCCGAGAUGAAUAAGAUUACUAUGCUAUGAAUGGCAGGGGAAUUAAACUGUCUCCUCUGCAGGCUCUAAGCGCCCCCUCCAACAGUGCAGAGAAUAAAUAAGUAAACAUAUGAAGUGUCUGGUUUAUUUGUGUCUGCAGUACACUUCUGCACCAUAUUCAAUAAUGAUAGA